UGGGGAAUAUUGCACAAUGGGCGAAAGCCUGAUGCAGCGACGCCGCGUGCGGGAUGAAGGCCUUCGGGUUGUAAACCGCUUUUGAUUGGGAGCAAGCGAGAGUGAGUGUACCUUUCGAAUAAGCACCGGCUAACUACGUGCCAGCAGCCGCGGUAAUACGUAGGGUGCAAGCGUUAUCCGGAAUUAUUGGGCGUAAAGAGCUCGUAGGCGGUUUGUCGCGUCUGGUGUGAAAGUCCAUCGCUUAACGGUGGAUCUGCGCCGGGUACGGGCAGGCUAGAGUGCGACAGGGGAGACUGGAAUUCCCGGUGUAACGGUGGAAUGUGUAGAUAUCGGGAAGAACACCAAUGGCGAAGGCAGGUCUCUGGGUCGUCACUGACGCUGAGGAGCGAAAAGCGUGGGGAGCGAACAGGAUUAGGAUACCCUGGUAGUCCACGCCGUAAACGGUGGAUGCUGGAUGUGGGGCCCAUUCCACGGGUUCCGUGUCGGAGCUAACGCGUUAAGCAUCCCGCCUGGGGAGUACGGCCGC
This 526-nucleotide ribosomal RNA is filed under the name uncultured bacterium. RNAcentral describes it as "partial 16S ribosomal RNA". It matches the Rfam family "Bacterial small subunit ribosomal RNA", at positions 355 to 889 of the family's 1533-position model. The record is from RNAcentral.